Non-coding RNA from Podarcis lilfordi (Lilford's wall lizard), 69 nucleotides. NCBI's taxonomy places the organism in Eukaryota, Metazoa, Chordata, Lepidosauria, Squamata, Lacertidae. The record is from the annotation of a GenBank genome assembly.
GUCGUAGCUCAGUGGCAGGACAUCUGCUUUGCAUGCAGAAGGUUCCAAGUUCAACCCCUGGCAUUUCCU